AGUGAACGCUGGCGGUAGGCCUAACACAUGCAAGUCGAACGGCAGCACAGUAAGAGCUUGCUCUUACGGGUGGCGCGUGGCGGACGGGUGAGGAAUACAUCGGAAUCUACUUUUUCGUGGGGGAUAACGUAGGGAAACUUACGCUAAUACCGCAUACGACCUACGGGUGAAAGCAGGGGAUCUUCGGACCUUGCGCGAUUGAAUGAGCCGAUGUCGGAUUAGCUAGUUGGCGGGGUAAAGGCCCACCAAGGCGACGAUCCGUAGCUGGUCUGAGAGGAUGAUCAGCCACACUGGAACUGAGACACGGUCCAGACUCCUACGGGAGGCAGCAGUGGGGAAUAUUGGACAAUGGUCGCAAGCCUGAUCCAGCCAUACCGCGUGGGUGAAGAAGGCCUUCGGGUUGUAAAGCCCUUUUGUUGGGAAAGAAAAGCAGCAGGUUAAUACCCCGCUGUUCUGACGGUACCCAAAGAAUAAGCACCGGCUAACUUCGUG
This 492-nucleotide ribosomal RNA is filed under the name uncultured bacterium. RNAcentral describes it as "partial 16S ribosomal RNA". It matches the Rfam family "Bacterial small subunit ribosomal RNA", at positions 29 to 507 of the family's 1533-position model. The record is from RNAcentral.